GACGGAGGUCCCUAGCGUUGUUCGGAAUUACUGGGCUUAAAGCGCGUGUAGGCGGAACGGUGAGUACCUUGUGAAAUCCCCGGUCUCAAGCCGGGAACUGCUCGGUAUACUAUCGUUCUUGAGGCAGGUAGGGGUCACUGGAACCUUAGGUGGAGCGGUGAAAUGCGUAGAUAUCUAAGGGAACGCCUGUGGCGAAAGCGGGUGACUGGGCCUGUCCUGACGCUGAGACGCGAAAGCGUAGGGAGCAAACGGG
Molecule: ribosomal RNA, 253 nt
Filed under: uncultured bacterium
Lineage: Bacteria
Description: partial 16S ribosomal RNA
Rfam family: Bacterial small subunit ribosomal RNA
Source: RNAcentral